This 636-nucleotide non-coding RNA is filed under the name Bacteroides stercoris. RNAcentral describes it as "Bacterial small subunit ribosomal RNA". It matches the Rfam family "Bacterial small subunit ribosomal RNA", at positions 197 to 834 of the family's 1533-position model. Lineage: Bacteria; Pseudomonadati; Bacteroidota; Bacteroidia; Bacteroidales; Bacteroidaceae. The record is from Rfam by way of RNAcentral.
AUUAUUAAAGAAUUUCGGUUGUCGAUGGGGAUGCGUUCCAUUAGGCAGUUGGCGGGGUAACGGCCCACCAAACCAACGAUGGAUAGGGGUUCUGAGAGGAAGGUCCCCCACAUUGGAACUGAGACACGGUCCAAACUCCUACGGGAGGCAGCAGUGAGGAAUAUUGGUCAAUGGACGAGAGUCUGAACCAGCCAAGUAGCGUGAAGGAUGACUGCCCUAUGGGUUGUAAACUUCUUUUAUACGGGAAUAAAGUUAGCCACGUGUGGCUUUUUGUAUGUACCGUAUGAAUAAGGAUCGGCUAACUCCGUGCCAGCAGCCGCGGUAAUACGGAGGAUCCGAGCGUUAUCCGGAUUUAUUGGGUUUAAAGGGAGCGUAGGCGGGUUGUUAAGUCAGUUGUGAAAGUUUGCGGCUCAACCGUAAAAUUGCAGUUGAUACUGGCGACCUUGAGUGCAACAGAGGUAGGCGGAAUUCGUGGUGUAGCGGUGAAAUGCUUAGAUAUCACGAAGAACUCCGAUUGCGAAGGCAGCUUACUGGAUUGUAACUGACGCUGAUGCUCGAAAGUGUGGGUAUCAAACAGGAUUAGAUACCCUGGUAGUCCACACAGUAAACGAUGAAUACUCGCUGUUGGCGAUAUAC